UAAGACGUAGGGGACGAGCGUUGUCCGGAUUCAUUGGGCGUAAAGAGCGCGUAGGCGGCCGUGCAAGUCGGAUGUGAAAAUCCGGGGCUCAACCCCGGACGUGCAUCCGAUACUGCUCGGCUAGAGGUAGGUAGGGGAGAUCGGAAUUCCUGGUGUAGCGGUGAAAUGCGCAGAUAUCAGGAGGAACACCGGUGGCGAAGGCGGAUCUCUGGGCCUUACCUGACGCUCAGGCGCGAAAGCUAGGGGAGCGAACAGGAUUAGAUACCCUGGUAGUCCUAGCCGUAAACGUUGGGUGCUAGGUGUGGGUGGACAUCGACCCCAUCCGUGCCGAAGCUAACGCAUUAAGCACCCCGCCUGGGGAGUACGGCCGCAAGGCUA
This 378-nucleotide ribosomal RNA is filed under the name uncultured bacterium. Its description in RNAcentral is "bacterial SSU rRNA". It matches the Rfam family "Bacterial small subunit ribosomal RNA", at positions 521 to 896 of the family's 1533-position model. The record is from RNAcentral.